CAGAUGUCUCCUGAUGGUGCUGCCUGUCAGUUGGAUGGUCUGUCCUUAGGCAGCAAUUACAAGAGAACGUGUUAUGAUAAGAGGGCUCCCCCAGUCAGCAUGUCCAAGCUGCUGAGUCAUGGUUAUGUGGAGGAGAAGAAGAAGUCUCCCAAUGACGACGAUGCCUCAAGUGUGACCUCAGAACAGAGCAGCACCAUCGUGACGGAGGUGGACGAUCUGGAGUAGUGUGCACAGGUCCUAGUCUGGAGGGAGAAGGGGGGUGCCGUCCUAACACUGGUUCAUGGUGUCGCAAAUCCACGAACACUCCGCCCGUCACAGGAUUCACUCACAUUAAUUGUACAUCCACUGACUCUUAGGUUUUGUACUCAUGUUUAUGCAAAAGGUACCGUCCUAUCUGUUUUGCUUUAAUUUAUAAAAUAGGAACUCACACAGGUUUCAUUGAGUAGACGUGUCGGUGCUCGCAGUAAUUUUUUCCGUUCAGUGUUAUCGUUUCUCGGUUUGAAAGACGAGUUGUGCACAGGGCAGGAAACUAACAUUUUGGUUCUGUUUAUUUUACCAGCUAGUUAAAUUUUAGAACUUAAAACAAGAUACAGCCUCACCUGCUAAAUCCUAAAGUCUCAUGGGUUUGGCUGGUAGCUGUAGUUAGUUUCCCUCCCUGGUUGUAUGAAGUUUGAGUUAGUGAAUUUUUAAGAAGUGUUUGUGCUAAUGAUUUGUGGUGCCAGUGACGUGAAACAUAAUUUGUUUUGAUCAAGGGCUCCUGCUUUCUGAAGGGACGUUAGAGGUAUGCGUGUUUGCGGCUGCGGCGGUCGAUAUGAUCAUUUGUUGAGACAGCAACCCCGCAGCUAUGACCACAUGCCAAAGGGCAGACUGAUGGCCAAAGCCGCGGCGGUUUGUGUGGUAAAAAAGGUCCAGACAUGAUUUUUAAGUUGCUGCGCUGCAGAAGGUUGCUCUACUCUGCUUCUUCCCCACAAAUUUUUUUUAUUUAAAUAGUGAAACAUGCAGUGGUUUAAUUUGUUGGUGGAUUUUUUUGUCCAGUAAUCAGAUUAAAAGCGCAUUACAAAGAAAAUGCAUCUGGUAAAAAAAGGACAAAAUUGAUUGAUUAACUCAAGUGACAUUUGCAAGUUUCAAUUAGAAAAACCAGCAUGUGAUGCAAAUUCCAUUCUCUCAUCAGUGCUAAUAAAUUAGGAAGCUCAUAAGUAAGACAAUAACUGUGCCAAGCCCUGGAUGCUGGUCCAGAUGUGUCAGACGCUUGCUAGCGAGAGUUCAAAACUUCUUGCAUUCUGCAAGUUAAAAUGUUGCUGUUUGCAACAACGGAUUAAAACAUUCUGGGAAGUUGUAGAAAAGAAGCCGCCUUCUGCAGCCCGACGACCCGAAAACCAAUUCCAGUGUAAUGCCCUGUGAAGAUUAGAGGAGUUUUUGAAAAGUGAGUUCUGAACAUGCCAACCAAGCAGUUUUUUCCCUGCACACAUGCAGUGUUUUGACCUAGUAGACUCCAGUAGGAGAAGUUAGUUAGUGCACAGCCUGGUCACACCAAACCCGCCAUCUCAUGACGUGUUUUUCUGCCGGAUAAACAUUUUCUGUUCAGAUUAGAGAGUUAAUUAAUGCUGCAUCAUUCUUGCAUAUAAAAACUUCACAAGCAACUCUGAGUACUGCAGCAGCUGCAUGUGAAUGAAUCCAGCCCAGACUGUUACCUGCAUGUCAUCUUCAGUCUCUCUUUCCUGCCUUUCCACUGUCACUAUCAUAAUAAAGGCAAAAAUGCCAGAAAAAAAAAACUAAAAACUUCACAACCAUACUUUGAAGCAGUGAAAAAUAGAUUUCCUGGUGUUUGAGUGAUCACAAACAAUUGAGUUUGUGGUGUGAUUCAAGUCCCCAUUUUCCCCUGAAACAAACAUACACAAAGCCUAAUGGGUGCAUUAAAUUCCUAAAUAAAAGCCAAAUCAAAAAUACCUUAGUUCAAAUAUCUUUAAAAAACUUAGGUGUCAUAAUGUCACUAAUAUUACCCAGUUUAAAACAAAAGAAGGUCAAGAUUGAUGCCACUUUAAAAAUAUCCUUUAUAUUAAGUUAACCUAUAUUUCAAGUCAAGAAAUAGAAGCUGGGAAAUAUCUUAAGUUGCAAUUAACACACGGAAUUAGCAUCAGUCUAAUGUUUAUAAUGUGUAAAUACUUUAUGAAUAGUAAGAUAUGGACUGAAAUAGAAACAAAAAUACAUUCUACAGAUUUUAAAUACCACAUAAACCAAUGCAGACGACAAGGAUGCAUGAAAAUGGUUAACGGCAGAUGUAUUUGUGGUGUCUAUCCAUUUUACUUCUGCAGGUCUUAAAAAGCACUGAACUUAGUUUGCUUCAGAGCACAUUAAAGAGUCCUAAAUAUUUCCUGUUGUCUACUGACAGCUGUCGUGUUAGUUGUUUAAAUCGUAUUGAAUCUUGUUUCUGGCUGCCAGGAGAUGUAAAUCUUAUGUGAAGCACCAUCACAACUGCAGCCAACACUCACUACUGCAGCUACAGUAGUGAGGAGGCUCUUCAUCUCCUCAAGGGCACUUUCCAGUUUUUGGCAAAAAUCGUUUCAAACAUCCAUUUUUAGGUUUGGUUUCUCUAAAUAAGAUCAACUAUAGAAUAUGGAAUUGUAGUUAUACUCUGCUGAAAACGGUGCAAUACAAAGGUACUGAUAUCAUUCCAUCUGGUUCUUCAUACUUUGCGCUGGAUGACUGAAAAAUAAGUAUUAAAUUUAGUUUUAUGUGUUUCUGAAAACUUCUUAAAAAGUAUUAAAUAAGUUGUCGAGCCCUACAGAAACCCCAGUGAGAGAUGUGGCUUCUGAAACACUUUAACAACCUUUAGUGUUACUGAACAAAUUAAUAGUGGUCAAAGCAGUGAAGUAAAUUUAACCCCCAAUCUUUUAAGUUCAAUUUAGAGCCCUGCUCUAUUGCAGAGUGCUCUCAGAGUUGCCCUUGGUGUCUCCAACUCCUCCUCGGCUGCUUGCUGAUGCGAUUGCACUUUGACAGUUUGGCCUUGAGUCAUCUAACAGUUAUUUUUGAAAAGUAGCUCCAAAAACAGCGUGCGACAGUAACUCCUAAAAAUCCUCAUUCUGCCGGGACAUUUUUCUGGUGAAUGAAACGCUCUUAAAUAGAAAAGGACGAGUCUAAGAUUUUAAGCUCCGAGUUUGUCCCAAUAAAUCCAAACCCAUUCACACCGCGUCACUAAAUGAUGCAGCAGUAACGCACUCUCAUUGGAAACGGCUUUAGUUGAUGUCAUGUUCAGCACAACAUUCUGUUUGUCACUUUUCUCCGCACAAUAUAUAUUUAAGCAGUGAUGCAUAAUUCAUCUGUAUUAUCUGUAGUAUUAAAAAGUGUUGUUCUAAAACUAUAGACGCUUUACUGUGCUUAGUGACACUGGUUCUUAUUUUGCAGUACAAGGAAGGGAGAAUGUAUCAUCUUUGGAUAUAGUUUGCUUCAAGGAACGGGUUUAUUUCUUUUAACUGUUAAAUAUUCAGGUACAGUAUUUACGUUUUAAAACUUAAUCCUCCUCUCUCUGUGGGUUGGUGCCGUUAUCAGUUUAUAUACCUGUAGUUGGAAACUUUUAUUGGCUUAACUUUUCCAACUCCUCCCCUGAAAUGUCAUUACUCUUGAUUUUUACUUGCAAGUGUUAAACUCUCCUCUACAAGAGAGUGAAGAUUGUGUUCGUUGUGAGGAAAAAGAUACACCUUAAUGUAAGACCAAGCUCAAUUUGAUGACUGCACACAGACUCUAUAUCAUUCCAAUAAAUGGGCAUGUGCAUGUAAA
Non-coding RNA from Paralichthys olivaceus (Japanese flounder), 3774 nucleotides. The record is from RefSeq and is a predicted model, not a curated record. Lineage: Eukaryota; Metazoa; Chordata; Actinopteri; Pleuronectiformes; Paralichthyidae.